Molecule: ribosomal RNA, 253 nt
Filed under: uncultured bacterium
Lineage: Bacteria
Description: partial 16S ribosomal RNA
Rfam family: Bacterial small subunit ribosomal RNA
Source: RNAcentral
UACGUAGGGUGCGAGCGUUAAUCGGAAUUACUGGGCGUAAAGCGUGCGCAGGCGGUCUUGCAAGACAGAUGUGAAAGCCCCGGGCUUAACCUGGGAACUGCAUUUGUGACUGCAAGGCUGGAGUGCGGCAGAGGGGGAUGGAAUUCCGCGUGUAGCAGUGAAAUGCGUAGAUAUGCGGAGGAACACCGAUGGCGAAGGCAAUCCCCUGGGCCUGCACUGACGCUCAUGCACGAAAGCGUGGGGAGCAAACAGG